Long non-coding RNA from Gopherus evgoodei (Goodes thornscrub tortoise), 118 nucleotides. RefSeq lists it as uncharacterized. Lineage: Eukaryota; Metazoa; Chordata; Testudines; Testudinidae. The record is from RefSeq and is a predicted model, not a curated record. The transcript is spliced from 3 exons.
AGACAACAUAAGGCGGGAUAUGAUAGAGGUCUAAGAAAUCAUGAAAGGUGUAGAAAGAAUGAAUAGGGAAGUGUUAUUUACCCCUUCACAUAACACAAGAACCAGGGUGCACCUAGUG